Moschus moschiferus (Siberian musk deer) is the source of this 131-nucleotide small nuclear RNA. Its record names the gene U2. It matches the Rfam family "U2 spliceosomal RNA". From Rfam's summary of the family: U2 is a small nuclear RNA (snRNA) component of the spliceosome (involved in pre-mRNA splicing). Complementary binding between U2 snRNA (in an area lying towards the 5' end but 3' to hairpin I) and the branchpoint sequence (BPS) of the intron results the bulging out of an unpaired adenosine, on the BPS, which initiates a nucleophilic attack at the intronic 5' splice site, thus starting the first of two transesterification reactions that mediate splicing. Lineage: Eukaryota; Metazoa; Chordata; Mammalia; Artiodactyla; Moschidae. The record is from Ensembl.
AAUGUUUCUCGGCCUUUUGGCUAAGAUCAAGUGUAAAAAUAAUCUGAAAUUUCUUUCUGAUGACUGGAGAGUUUGUCACUGAUCUCAAAACAAUUCUCUCCACUAAAAUCCCAUAUUUAUUUUAAAUAGGA